RNAcentral lists this unclassified non-coding RNA (679 nucleotides) under Hevea brasiliensis (rubber tree). Lineage: Eukaryota; Viridiplantae; Streptophyta; Magnoliopsida; Malpighiales; Euphorbiaceae. The record is from RNAcentral.
AAAAAUCUCAAAUAGAACGUACGUUUUAGCCAAAAAUCUAGAAAAAUAUGAACUCAAAUAGCAAACUUUCGGGUACUCAAGAGGACAUUGGGAAGAAAAAAAAAAUCAAGUGCAGCUCAUACAGCCUAGCCUAACAUAUUCUAGAAUGGGAAUCUAGGCCUGCCUGUUUCUCUUCUUGACACCAGAUUUCGCAAUCUUGAGACUCUUGUUCACAGCACUCAAUCUUGCAAGGGAUGCCUUCUUCAGAUCUGGCCUGUAAUAGUUAUCUGCUACCUGGUUUGAUACAGCCUUGGCCAUGCACCGAAACUCCUUCUUCAUUACAGAUUUAUUCAGCAAACUUGAAGGCUUGUUCUGUUUCUUGGUCUUUGAAGUAGCAAGCAACACUGAUUGAUCUUUGCCUCCAGGCUGGAUGGUCACAGUCUUCUUGUUUGCUAGGCCAGAAUGCUUGUAAGAGUGAAGAUUGUAAAGAUUGUUAGGCUCUUUGCUGAAUACGACACCGGCGGUACCAUUACCAAACUCCUUCACCAAAAAUGAGUUGUUUUUCUUGACGAUCUCCCAAACCAGUUGCCCUGGAACUGUCGUCAUUUCAACACCACCUACCUGUGAGUAGCAAAAGGGUCUGUAGAGUUUCGAUUCGACGGCCUGUGCAAGAAGACGCAAUAAACUUAAAAGGAAGACG